Apus apus (common swift) is the source of this 282-nucleotide long non-coding RNA. RefSeq lists it as uncharacterized. Lineage: Eukaryota; Metazoa; Chordata; Aves; Apodiformes; Apodidae. The record is from RefSeq and is a predicted model, not a curated record. The transcript has 3 exons.
CGGGCCCGGCCCGCACCUGCGGAACCCCCCGCACCCGCGGCGGGAGGGACCCGCGCGGCCGGGCUGAGGUGAGGGAAGAGUCGCCAGGGCCUGAGCGGGCAUCCCCAAAGGUUACUUGCUGCAGAUUUCAGCUCCUUGCUUCACUCCCUGCCUGCCAUGGUUGCUGAGCUACAGGCUGUCCCAGAGGAGGUACCAUGAAAACAGCGUUAUCUGGAUUAAGGCUUAUGGCAUCAAAAGUCCCCUUGUCAAUGCAAAUCUCAAAUCCUGACAGCUCAGCUGAUG